Sinocyclocheilus grahami is the source of this 182-nucleotide long non-coding RNA. RefSeq lists it as uncharacterized. NCBI's taxonomy places the organism in Eukaryota, Metazoa, Chordata, Actinopteri, Cypriniformes, Cyprinidae. The transcript has 2 exons. The record is from RefSeq and is a predicted model, not a curated record.
AGUAGACAUGACGUUAGCAGACUCUGGCUUGGCAGACAUGAAGUGAACAGGCUUUGGCGUAGCAGACAUGAUGUGGGCAGGCUUUGGCUCUGCAGGCAUGACGUGAACAACUCCUGACAUGAUGGUCGGGACGUGGAAAAGGUCUGAUGUGGCGGGUACUGUAGGAUAGCAGUGUUCCUCCU